This 492-nucleotide ribosomal RNA is filed under the name uncultured bacterium. RNAcentral describes it as "partial 16S ribosomal RNA". It matches the Rfam family "Bacterial small subunit ribosomal RNA", at positions 29 to 507 of the family's 1533-position model. The record is from RNAcentral.
AAUGAACGCUGGCGGCGUGCCUAACACAUGCCAGUCGAACGAAAACACCGGGAGCUUUCUCCCCUGAGGUUGGCGCCGGACGGGUGAGUAACACAUGCAUCGCAUACCUCUAUGACGGGGGUAAUAUCGGGGGACCAGUUCUAAUAACACAGAAUAUAUCGUACCGGGUGGAGCAAUAGUGCAAGUCGCUUUUGGUGACAGUUAUAGCCGACGCCGGACUAGCUAGUUGGCGGGGUAAAGGCCCAGCUAGGCAACGAUCCGUAGCGGAUCCGAGCGGAUGGUCCGCCACACUGGAACUGAGACACGGUCCAGACUCCUACGGGAGGCAGCAGUCGGGAAUAUUGCGCAAUGGGCGAAAGCCUGAUGGAGCAACACCGCGUGAGUGAUGAAGGUCUUCGGAUCGUAAAGCUCUGUUGUUAGGAAAGAACAAAAGCGUAUUUAACCAUGCACGUCUUGACGGUACCUAAAGAAUAAGCCCCGGCUAACUACGUG